UUUCAAAGCUUUUUCUAAGCUCUUCAUCUCCCCCUGGUGCUGCAGAAAAGAGCCCUGGGGAGGAGAAAGAUGAUACACUUAUCCAUGCAAUUGCAGAGAACAGUGAAGCUGGGUGCACAAGAGCAAUGCAAUGCCAGUUUCAAGGAUUUUGAUCAUAGCAAAGAAUUGAUGGAUACCAACAUCAAAAUCCAACCACAGGAAGGUGAGAGCAUGAUAACGUACAUUUUCCUGGUCUGCAGUCACACAAAGUAAUCUUGUUUUGCUUAAAACUUGGGGGAAUUUGAGGGAAAGUUGAAAAAAAAAAAAAAGCAGUGAGAAGCCGCAGACCUCCACAUCAAAGCCAAGUAUUGCUCUGAAUGUGAGUUUCUCCAUUUUAGGCAGUGAGAGACUGAAUGGUCGAGGAUGCCAAGCCACAAUUCUCACUGCUUUACUUGGCACACCAGAGCAAGUAGAUAGUCAUCUGUGGACCAACACAAUAGAAAAUAAAAUUUAAAAAAACUGUCGUCC
Long non-coding RNA from Acanthopagrus latus (yellowfin seabream), 507 nucleotides. RefSeq lists it as uncharacterized. The record is from RefSeq and is a predicted model, not a curated record. The transcript is spliced from 3 exons. Lineage: Eukaryota; Metazoa; Chordata; Actinopteri; Spariformes; Sparidae.